This is a long non-coding RNA of Lolium rigidum, 596 nucleotides long. RefSeq lists it as uncharacterized. The transcript has 3 exons. The record is from RefSeq and is a predicted model, not a curated record. NCBI's taxonomy places the organism in Eukaryota, Viridiplantae, Streptophyta, Magnoliopsida, Poales, Poaceae.
CGGAGGGAGCGGAGCUUAGUUCCCCGGCGUCCGCGCAGCCGCCGGCACCGAAGCGGCGGAAGAUCGAGCCUUCUCGGAGGAGUAGACCUCCUCCUUCUCAAGAUGCUCCUGAUAAGGACAAGUUGGCCGCAUCAUCCAAUUCAUCGGUUUCAGCUACACAGGUAGCGAGAGUGGAUCUCAACAAAGUUAUAGAGGCAAAGAGAUUUGCUGUCUUUCAAGCACAGCACGAGGGAUGCCUUGGAAGCUUCAAAAGCUUUGAUUCUCUGUUUGGAAAUUAUCUUGUUCCUGUUACCCCAAGCGAUGACUUCUUCGAACAGAUUUCGAAGAAGUAAUACAACAGAGUUGACAGCUGUGAAGAGGUAGGACAAUGAUUCUGCUCCAUGCUAGGUAUAUCAACUGUCUAAGAUCUGUUACUGCUAGAUUUUUUAUACUAACAGAGUAAUGCUAGCUAAGACUUCAAAACAAACUCUAUGAGUACUCUACUUUAGAAAUUGAAGUUCUGUUCUUCAAAAGGGUAACUGGUUUUGAUGUACGGCUGUAGAUACUCCUACCUUGUAAGAUCUUCACCGUGCCAAAAUGUAGAGCUACUAAUUGUA